Molecule: long non-coding RNA, 451 nt
Organism: Canis lupus familiaris (dog)
Lineage: Eukaryota; Metazoa; Chordata; Mammalia; Carnivora; Canidae
Exons: 3
Source: RefSeq, a predicted model, not a curated record
CGAUUAAAUGAAACAAUGCAUGUGAAGGAACUGGCUCAGCUCCUUGCAUGUAGGAAGCCCUGCAGAAAGUGUUAUUGUUAACAACUCAGAAGCAGCACAGUGAUUAUGACUCCAGAAGGAGGGAAGUCUCAAGGGCUCAUAACCUUUCAGAAAAUGAAGGACCUUUGGGCUGAAAUUCUGAAAGCUGGCUCUUACUGCAAAGAUUUUCAGAACAGAAAAUUCUACAACUUCCUAUAGUAACAUAUUUUUGUGCUUCAUCAUCAGGAAAUUGCAACAACCUUAAUUUCCUCCAAUUAGGCCUAUUUUCUUGAUGCAUGUGGAUUUAAAAUAACAGUCUGCCGUACAUCUCUGUUAGUGACUAAUGUUAGAAUAUGACACGAUGGCAAAAUGUUAGAAAUUGGAAAUAAUUAAUCCAGAGAUAAGAAAGCUCACAGGGGAUCUAACUAGAUUU